CUACGGGUCGCUCCAGUGGGGAAUAUUGGACAAUGGGGGAAACCCUGAUCCAGCAAUGCCGCGUGUGUGAAGAAGGCCUGCGGGUUGUAAAGCACUUUCGGUUGGGAGGACUGCUUCUAGCACUAAUAUUGUUGGAAGUUGACGUUACCUUCAGAAGAAGCACCGGCUAACUCCGUGCCAGCAGCCGCGGUAAUCGGAGGGUGCAUGCGUUAAUCGGAAUUACUGGGCGUAAAGCGCGCGUAGGCGGCUAGAUCAGUCGGGUGUGAAAGCCCCGGGCUUAACCUGGGAACUGCAUCCGAUACUGGCUAGCUUGAGUACAGGAGAGGAGAGUGGAAUUCCACAUGUAGCGGUGAAAUGCGUAGAUAUGUGGAGGAACACCAAUGGCGAAGGCAGCUCUCUGGCCUGAUACUGACGCUGAGGUGCGAAAGCGUGGGGAGCAAACAGGAUUAGAUACCCUCGUAGUC
RNAcentral lists this ribosomal RNA (464 nucleotides) under uncultured bacterium. Its description in RNAcentral is "partial 16S ribosomal RNA". It matches the Rfam family "Bacterial small subunit ribosomal RNA", at positions 339 to 795 of the family's 1533-position model. The record is from RNAcentral.